Molecule: ribosomal RNA, 338 nt
Filed under: uncultured delta proteobacterium
Lineage: Bacteria; Deltaproteobacteria
Description: bacterial SSU rRNA
Rfam family: Bacterial small subunit ribosomal RNA
Source: RNAcentral
GAGUCUGCGUUUCAUUAGCUAGUUGGUAGGGUAAUGGCCUACCAAGGCAACGAUGAGUAACUGGUCUGAGAGGAUGAUCAGCCACACUGGAACUGAAACACGGUCCAGACUCCUACGGGAGGCAGCAGUGGGGAAUAUUGCGCAAUGGGCGAAAGCCUGACGCAGCAACGCCGUGUGAGGGAUGAAGGCUUUCGGGUCGUAAACCUCUGUCGGAAGGGAAGAACGGGCAUUGGUCUAAUAGGCCUUUGUUUUGACGGUACCUUUAGAGGAAGCACCGGCUAACUCCGUGCCAGCAGCCGCGGUAAUACGGAGGGUGCAAGCGUUAUUCGGAAUUACGG